Molecule: ribosomal RNA, 253 nt
Filed under: uncultured bacterium
Lineage: Bacteria
Description: partial 16S ribosomal RNA
Rfam family: Bacterial small subunit ribosomal RNA
Source: RNAcentral
UACGUAGGUGGCGAGCGUUGUCCGGAUUUACUGGGCGUAAAGGGAGCGUAGGCGGACUUUUAAGUGAGAUGCGAAAUACUCGGGCUCAACUUGAGUGCUGCAUUUCAAACUGGAAGUCUAGAGUGCAGGAGAGGAGAAUGGAAUUCCUAGUGUAGCGGUGAAAUGCGUAGAGAUUAGGAAGAACACCAGUGGCGAAGGCGAUUCUCUGGACUAUGACUGACGCUGAGGCUCGAAAGCGUGGGGAGCAAACAGG